UACGUAGGGCGCAAGCGUUGUCCGGAAUUAUUGGGCGUAAAGAGCUCGUAGGCGGUUUGUCGCGUCUGCUGUGAAAUCCCGAGGCUCAACCUCGGGCUUGCAGUGGGUACGGGCAGACUAGAGUGUGGUAGGGGAGACUGGAAUUCCUGGUGUAGCGGUGAAAUGCGCAGAUAUCAGGAGGAACACCGAUGGCGAAGGCAGGUCUCUGGGCCACUACUGACGCUGAGAAGCGAAAGCAUGGGGAGCGAACAGG
RNAcentral lists this ribosomal RNA (253 nucleotides) under uncultured bacterium. RNAcentral describes it as "partial 16S ribosomal RNA". It matches the Rfam family "Bacterial small subunit ribosomal RNA", at positions 524 to 776 of the family's 1533-position model. The record is from RNAcentral.